AUGGGUACCAAACAGCAGCUCCAGGAUCUGUUCAGAGCAUUUUGUCAAUAAUGCCAAAAGCAACAUCGCAGCCCAUCCUGCGUACCUCCCCACACUCUUUCCAGUAGUGUACAAGAGGAGUUCAGUGAUUCCGCAGGACCAAGCGUCAAGGUUUGACAGAUGGCAUCACAGAGUAGCAAGCAGACAAGCAUCGAGUCUGGGGGGUCCCGCUUCAUCUUUGACUGGAAUCCCAAGCACAAGCAGGGAACGAACUAGCAGCGGCAGCCGAGGAAGAUCAGACUGAUGACCCGGAGAUUAGUGCAACAGAUGGGAUCCUCCAGGACCAAGCAUCAGGGCUUGACAGCCCAGGCCCAGCUUGGCAUCAAAACU
Molecule: long non-coding RNA, 369 nt
Organism: Ixodes scapularis (black-legged tick)
Lineage: Eukaryota; Metazoa; Arthropoda; Arachnida; Ixodida; Ixodidae
Exons: 4
Source: RefSeq, a predicted model, not a curated record